CGCUCCCCUCCUCCAAGACCCUCGAUGCCAGGUCCUUCGAAUCGGACGCUAACAGUUCCUCUUGGGAUGACGACCCAGGUAUCAUGAGCAAGGCUGAGACUUUCUCCACUGGGCGCAGCAGGAACGUGAAGCCUCGGACCUCCCUUCCAAUAGUGCACACGCCCUCCAAGACCCUCGAGCGACCCCUGGAGCAAUAAGAAAUUAGAAUUGACAGAGAAACCAGACAAGGGACUGCAUUUGAAGAAGCACAAGAACCAAGAAAUUACAUCAUUCAAUGAAAUGACAACAAAUCUAAAGCAAAAGGCGUUGCAGAAAGAGCGCAAGAUCACUGUGUUGUGGGAGAAGAGAGUCCCUUAGUGGUCAGCUGGUGACGGUCCACAACCACAGCCACUUUGAAGAGAAUGGCCUCAGCCACGACCACCUUGCUCAAGAAAAUAUCACGUUGACAGAGCUGAUUAAACAACUAGAAGAUAAGCUCAAACUUUCAAAGAUAGAAAUCAAAGACGUCACAAGACAGAAUAGUGAGCUGCAUGCACUUAUCACAGAGUAUAAAGUCACUCCCUCAGAGGAAAAAGACAAGGAUGGCACCUCUUCAUGUGAGAACUCAGAAGCUAAAUGUACAGAUACCAAGGGGAAAUUGCUGGGUCAAGUGGCUACACUGACAUCUGAGGUUAGCAGGUUGGAGAGUGAGUGCAGCAGUCUUCAGGUUCAGCUAGACUGUGAGAGCGAUAAGUAUAACAAACUGCUGGGAGAAUCUCUUGCUCAUGAAAAGUUGUCUGAAGAUGUCAUAACUGAACCAAAAGGUGACUACUUCACCAUCUACCAGUUGCAGCGAGGAGUGAUGAAGCAGCAAGCUCGAGAACGCCAGUUAGACCUUGCCAGCCUCCAUCAUGAAUGAGAGGAAAUGAAGCAAAACCACUCAGCAGGAUUUGAUAUCAAAGCUGGUGCAGGAAAAGGAAGCAGAUCAUGACCUUGAGCAGCUCGAGAAGAUAAGCAGCGUCCUUAAGAGUCCAGUUGCUAUCAUUAGCAGUGUUGGAACCAGUGAGUCUGAGACACCCACCAGCAGUGGAAAGGUGGCUGACGAGCGCCUCAAACACCAAAAAAGACCAAAACUGUUACUGCUGCCACACUGCCACCACUUCCACUGACACCAAAAGCCCAACUGUGCAGAGAAUCCUGGACCUCCGCAAUGAAAUGGAGUCCACCAGUCACCUGGAGCACUUUAGCCUCCAAAAGUUCCAUCCGUGUCCAUUGUGUUUGGGUAAACUUAUCACUGUAUAAGGGGACAAGUAUCAGUGUAUGGUUACUAUAUACUCAUUUGUACUUAAAGAUGUCAUGUCACAUCAUUCUCUCUCUCUCUCUCUCUCUCUCUCUCUCUCUCUCUCUCUCUCUCUCUCUCUCUCUCUCUCUCUCUCUCUCUCUCUCUCUCUCUCUCUCUCUCUCUCUCUCUCUCUCUCUCUCUCUCUCUCUCUCUCUCUCUCUCUUUCUUUCUUUCUUUCUUUCUUUUGUUGCAUAUUUUACUGCUUUACAUUCCUCCCCACAGUAUUUUUUCAUCUACUUUAUGACUGCAGUAGUUUUAUCAUCCCAGUGUAUGCCGUAUCCACUCUGAAACUGUAAUUCACCAAUCAGCUCAAAUGUGUCUCAGUUUUGAUAAUCAUUAAUUUGUUUCAGCUACACAACCACUCUGAUAAGGGACAAAAUCUACUUCACCAGUCAUCUAUGUCAUACAGUCAUAUAUAUUCAUACAUAUGACAAAAUACUCUUCCUAAGACCUGUCCAUCUAUCUAAGGUACCACAUAACAUUUAAAACUUACAAUAUUGUGUUUAAUUCAUGAACACUUUUUUGUCUAUCUAUGUAGACUUGAAAUUGUAUUGCGUAUAGACUUGAAAUGUAUUGGGAGUUUUCUUUAUCUCUCAUUCUAUACCUAACACCUGUUCCUAAGAAUCCCCAGGUGAUAGCCAUGGUGACUGGCUGGUCUCCUACUGAGUGGCUGGGGUUUUCCAAAAGUGAGGGUUGGUGUUCUAUACCAUACCAUGUGCCCUGUUUGUAUUCCUUCUUUGUCCUCUGUAUUAUAUUCUAUGUAAAGAUGGUGCUGGGGUGGGAUCUACUUCUUAUUCCCUAAAAGUGAUGGGGAGUGACACUGGGCAGCAUUGAUUUGCUCCUUAGAGAUGGCUGGGUUCCUGUGGAUGAGUGGGCCAUGCUGUGCUUUGUCAAGGAUGGUGUUUGGUAUUGUGAUGACUCUUGCCACAAUCAAGUGUCUCCCACAGAGUAGUGGAGUACCUAUGUAUGGUGUUGACCCAAGCUGUCCAGGUCUCAUCCAAUGCCUUAAUAUGAUUUAGAUUAUCAAAAUGGUUUAACUCACCAUUUAAUCAGCUGACUGAUUUGAAUAGAGAAGUAUGUAAUGUAUAGCCUAACCAUCUCUGCCAGCAUGGUCAGACUCUUGGUAGUAACCCAAAGCGCUCCUAGGUAGUGAGUAUCAUUGCACAUAAUGAUCUUUACUUUGUCAGUAAUUCAAUGAUACUGAAUAUUACUCUACUGGAUUUUGCUCAGCACUGCUUGGUAACUUGGCCAUAAUCCUUGGUCUGGAAUGAUAUGAAGCCAUGUUUUUACAUUCCAUAUGAGACAGGCAAGCACUAUGCUUUGCCUGACUGAUACCUGUACUUUGCAUUUAUGACCCCAGGUAGUUCAUCACUCUCUCUCUCUCUCUCUCUCUCUCUCUCUCUCUCUCUCUCUCUCUCUCUCUCUCUCUCUCUCUCUC
Molecule: long non-coding RNA, 2759 nt
Organism: Scylla paramamosain (green mud crab)
Lineage: Eukaryota; Metazoa; Arthropoda; Malacostraca; Decapoda; Portunidae
Exons: 9
Source: RefSeq, a predicted model, not a curated record